AGUGGCUCGCUUCACGGCUUCCCUACUGUACCUCAGGCAUUUCACGACUGUGGUGACACCUACGGGGCGUACUUGUGCGAUCCGCCGCGGUAGUACCGGCAGCUCGUGCGGGGCCCUCUAUUACUGCCCUUAACGCCUUAGUAGCUGGGUUGUUACGUCUCCGGCGAAAUCUUCCGGCUUAACCGGAAGGGAUCUCACGCAUACUGGCAGACUACGGACCGGGUACAGGUGACAGGUACUCCGGGGGUACGACUGAAAUCACUGUAAUCCUUGGGGGACCACCUGUGGAGAAAGCUUCUCACCAGAACGGCUCCCACUGUGAGGGACUAAUGCUGGGGGAGCAAACCGGAUUAGAUACCCGGGUAGUCCCAGCUGUAAACGAUGCCCGUUACGUGUAUCGGUGACCACUAUUCACCGAGGUGCCGAAGAUAAAUCGUGAAACGUGCUCGCCUGGUAAGUACGGUCGCAAGGUUGAAACUUAAAGGAAUUGCGCGGGGAGCA
RNAcentral lists this ribosomal RNA (501 nucleotides) under uncultured archaeon. RNAcentral describes it as "bacterial SSU rRNA". It matches the Rfam family "Archaeal small subunit ribosomal RNA", at positions 384 to 878 of the family's 1478-position model. The record is from RNAcentral.